This 1698-nucleotide small RNA is filed under the name Pongo abelii (Sumatran orangutan). Its description in RNAcentral is "retained intron". The record is from RNAcentral. Lineage: Eukaryota; Metazoa; Chordata; Mammalia; Primates; Hominidae.
CUAAGGUCUGUGCCCAGGGAGGUGGGGCGUGGCGGCUGGGGGCCAGGCAGGCGGGGGGAGGACCUGCCGCGCACUGAGCCCCCUUUGCUGCUAGGAGGAGAUCCGCAUCGAUGCCACUACGGUGUUCGUGGACCCCUAUGAGGAGGCCGAUGCCCAGAUCGCCCAGGAGCGGAAGACACAGCUCGAGGUGGCCCCGGAGACCAAAGUGAAGAGCAGCCAGCCCCAGGCAGGGAGCCAGGGCCCCCAGACCUUCCGCCAGGGUGUGGGCAAGUACAUCAACCCAGCAGCCACGUGAGUGCGGCGGGGCUGGCCUCCCUGUUUUCCAUGGUGUUUCCUAGGGCUGACUGAGGUCUGAGGGUCAGACCCAGAGGGGCACUGGUCCUGGGUGUGGGCUUGUGCUGUGUGGCCUCUGCAGCCGAGGGACUGCCUCUGAAGGCCUGGCCGGGGCCUCUCUGGGUGGAAGAGAUCAAAUUCAGGGGAACGUGGGAGCAGCAGGUGGGAGGGGUUGGGCCUACACUAGGAGGGCCGUAUGGAGACACAGACAAGUCAGGAGGGGCCGAGGGAGGGUGUGGGCUCCCAGCGGCUUCUUCUCUUCCCAGGAAGCGAGCGGCAGAGGAAGAGCCCUCAACCAGUGCCACUGUCCCCAUGUCCAAGAAGAAGCCCAGUCGGGGUUUUGGGGACUUCAGCUCCUGGUAGCAGCAGGCUGCCUGAUGAUGACCGCUAGAGGCAUGUCUGCCCCUUGUCACCCUGCUGCACACCAACCUCUGGCCCUUCAUCGUGCUAAGAACAAGAACUGCGCCAUGGCUGGCUCCGCCUCUGCAGCCUGUCAUCCCUGUCUGUGACCAUUGGUGAGGCCCCUGGGCUCUAGAGUGACUUUUGACGCCCUCCGUGCCUCCAGCCAGGCACGGUCCUCGGCAAGGCCUGGUGCAGCCCUGGCAGUAACUCGCUUCUAAGAGGCUCAGACACCAAGCUGGGCCUGCACAGGAGGGGCACAGUAGGACACAGUGACUGCCCAGGUGUCCACACACCUGUAGGCCUCUGAGCCAGCGUCCGGGGUACAGGUGCGGAUGGUGGGGAUGAAGGCCUGACCAGGGAGGGAGAAGCAGGUUUGGCGAGGACCCUGUGCCCACCCUGACACCCUGGUUGGCCCUGACUGUAUUCUCUGGCCACAUUCAAAUCCCCCCAGUGGUGGGGGCAGAGAAGUAGGACCAGGCCGCCCUUGGCGCCAGAGCUCGAAGACCCCAAGACAGCCGUCUGCCCUCAGCGGCGCCACAGAGAGCCUGGGCUCAGCUUUCUGCAUCAGGACACAGCGUUGUCCACUGAGGGCACAAUUUAAACAAACAUUUGACAUCAGAAGCUUUAUUUGUAAACCUCACACAGAUAAGGACCAAGGGCUAGCGGCGUGGCCAGAGGACAGGGGAAGCUGAAGGCCCCGUGCUUGAGCUCGGCAGUCCUGCUCCUUGCAGUGAAGCCACCGUGGGUGACCGUCCAGCCUCACCUGGUGGCCUGCACAGUGAGGGAAGGGCUUCAGGGCCAUCUGCCCCCGGGGCAGGGGACAGGCCACCACGGACCUUUGGCAAGUGAAGGUUUACAUUUCUGUAGUUUGUUUUAGAGCUUAAUUUGUAGUUUUUUAGCUAUUAAAACCACUUGAAUUUUUAACGACCUGAUGAGGACAUCAGGUAAAUUAAAGGAUUUUGG